Tupaia belangeri (northern tree shrew) is the source of this 106-nucleotide small nuclear RNA. The record is from Ensembl. Lineage: Eukaryota; Metazoa; Chordata; Mammalia; Scandentia; Tupaiidae.
GUGUUCCCCUGGCAGCACAUAUACUAAAAUUGAAAUGAUACAAAGAAGAUCAACAUGGCACCUGUGCAAGGAUGACACACAAAUUUUGGAGGUUUUCCAUAUUUUU